Non-coding RNA from Schistosoma margrebowiei, 46 nucleotides. Lineage: Eukaryota; Metazoa; Platyhelminthes; Trematoda; Strigeidida; Schistosomatidae. The record is from Rfam.
GCCUUGUUGAGGAGUCCCAUAAUAGGACGAAAUGGCCGUCUAGUGC